GGGGAUUUAGCUCAGUGGUAGAGCACUUGCCUAGCAAGCACAAGGCCCUGGGUUCGAUCCCCAGCUCCA
Rattus norvegicus (Norway rat) is the source of this 69-nucleotide non-coding RNA. The record is from Rfam. NCBI's taxonomy places the organism in Eukaryota, Metazoa, Chordata, Mammalia, Rodentia, Muridae.